Molecule: ribosomal RNA, 207 nt
Filed under: uncultured bacterium
Lineage: Bacteria
Description: partial 16S ribosomal RNA
Rfam family: Bacterial small subunit ribosomal RNA
Source: RNAcentral
CGCGUAGGCGGCGGACCAAGUCGAGUGUGAAAGCCCCGGGCUCAACCUGGGAGGUGCGCUCGAGACUGGUUGGCUGGAGUUCGGGAGAGGAGCGUGGAAUUCCCAGUGUAGAGGUGAAAUUCGUAGAUAUUGGGAAGAACACCGGUGGCGAAGGCGGCGCUCUGGACCGAGACUGACGCUGAGGCGCGAAGGCGUGGGGAGCAAACA